Molecule: ribosomal RNA, 301 nt
Filed under: uncultured bacterium
Lineage: Bacteria
Description: partial 16S ribosomal RNA
Rfam family: Bacterial small subunit ribosomal RNA
Source: RNAcentral
CAGUCGCCGCGGGAAUACGAAGGGGGCUAGCGUUGCUCGGAAUGACUGGGCGUAAAGGGCGCGUAGGCGGAUUGUUUAGUUAGGCGUGAAAUUCCUGGGCUUAACCUGGGGACUGCGCUUAAUACAGGCAGUCUAGAGUGAGGAAGAGGGUUGUGGAAUUCCCAGUGUAGAGGUGAAAUUCGUAGAUAUUCGCAAGAACACCUGUGGCGAAGGCGGCUCACUGGCCCGAUACUGACGCUGAGGCACGAAAGCGUGGGGAGCAAACAGGAUUAGAUACCCGCGUAGUCCCUGUCUCUUAUAC